Molecule: ribosomal RNA, 254 nt
Filed under: uncultured bacterium
Lineage: Bacteria
Description: partial 16S ribosomal RNA
Rfam family: Bacterial small subunit ribosomal RNA
Source: RNAcentral
UACAGAGGUGCCAAGCGUUAGGCGGAAUCACUGGGCUUAAAGCGCGUGUAGGUGGACGGGUAAGUAUCUUGUGAAAUCCCACGGCUCAACCGUGGAACUGCUGGAUAUACUGCUUGUCUUGAGGCACUUAGGGGCAGCUGGAACAAAUGGUGGAGCGGUGAAAUGCGUUAGAUAUCAUUUGGAACGCCAAAGGCGAAAGCAGGCUGCUGGGAGUGAUCUGACACUGAGACGCGAAAGCCAGGGGAGCAAACGGG